GAUGAACGCUGGCGGCGUGCCUAAUACAUGCAAGUCGAGCGAACAGACGAGUAGCUUGCUCCUCUGACGUUAGCGGCGGACGGGUGAGUAACACGUGGAUAACCUACCUAUAAGACUGGGAUAACGUCGGGAAACCGGAGCUAAGACCGGAUAAUAUAUUGAACCGCAUGGUUCAAUAGUGAAAGACGGUUUUGCUGUCACGUAUAGAUGGAUCAGCGCCGCAUUAACUAGUUGGUAAGGUAACGGCUUACCAAGGCAACGAUGCGUAGCCGACCUGAGAGGGAGAUCGGCCAGCCUGGAACUGAGACACGGCCCAGACUCCUACGGGAGGAAGCAGUAGGGAAUCUUCCGCAAUGGGCGAAAGCCUGACGUAGCAACGCCGCGUGAGUCAUGAAGGUCUCCGGCUCGUAAAACUCUGUUAUUAGGGAAGUACAAAUGUGUAAGUAACUAUGAACGUAUUGACGGUACCUAAUCAGAAAGCCACGGCUAACUACGUG
This 497-nucleotide ribosomal RNA is filed under the name uncultured bacterium. RNAcentral describes it as "partial 16S ribosomal RNA". It matches the Rfam family "Bacterial small subunit ribosomal RNA", at positions 28 to 507 of the family's 1533-position model. The record is from RNAcentral.